This 835-nucleotide ribosomal RNA is filed under the name uncultured fungus. RNAcentral describes it as "SSU rRNA". It matches the Rfam family "Eukaryotic small subunit ribosomal RNA", at positions 564 to 1414 of the family's 1831-position model. Lineage: Eukaryota; Fungi. The record is from RNAcentral.
GUGCCAGCCGCCGCGGUAAUUCCAGCUCCAAUAGCGUAUAUUAAAGUUGUUGUGGUUAAAAAGCUCGUAGUUGAACCUUGGGCCUGGCUGGCCGGUCCGCCUCACCGCGUGCACUGGUCCGGCCGGGCCUUUCCCUCUGUGGAACCCCAUACCCUUCACUGGGCGUGGCGGGGAAACAGGACAUUUACUUUGAAAAAAUUAGAGUGCUCCAGGCAGGCCUAUGCUCGAAUACAUUAGCAUGGAAUAAUAAAAUAGGACGCGCGGUUCUAUUUUGUUGGUUUAUAGGACCGCCGUAAUGAUUAAUAGGGACAGUCGGGGGCAUCAGUAUUCAACUGUCAGAGGUGAAAUUCUUGGAUCAGUUGAAGACUAACUACUGCGAAAGCAUUUGCCAAGGAUGUUUUCAUUAAUCAGGAACGAAAGUUAGGGGGAUCGAAGACGAUCAGAUACCGUCGUAGUCUUAACCAUAAACUAUGCCGACUAGGGAUCGGACGGUGUUAUUCAUGACCCGUUCGGCACCUUACGAGAAAUCAAAGUGCUUGGGCUCCAGGGGGAGUAUGGUCGCAAGGCUGAAACUUAAAGAAAUUGACGGGAAGGGCACCACCAGGGGUGGAGCCUGCGGCUUAAUUUUGACUCAACACGGGGAAACUCACCAGGUCCAGACACAAUAAAGGAUUGACAGAUUGAGAGCUCUUUCUUGAUUUUGUGGGUGGUGGUGCAUGGGCGUUCUUAGGUUGGUGGGGUGACUUUGUCUGCUUAAUUGGCAUAAACGAACGAAGACCUUUAACCUGCUAAAUAAGCUCGCAUUGGCUCCGGCAAGGGCGCUGGGCUUCUUUAG